AUUGAACGCUGGCGGCACGCCUAACACAUGCAAGUCGAGCGGUAGCGCGAUGUGUAGCAAUACACAUUGGCGACGAGCGGCGGACGGGUGAGGAACACGUAGGAAUCUACCCUCAAGCGGGGGACAACCAAGGGAAACUUUGGCUAAUACCGCAUAAUCUCGAGAGAGCAAAGCUGCAGCAAUGUGGCACUUGAGGAGGAGCCUGCGUCCGAUUAGCUAGUUGGUGAGGUAAUGGCUCACCAAGGCGAUGAUCGGUAACUGGUCUGAGAGGACGACCAGUCACACUGGGACUGAGACACGGCCCAGAGUCCGACGGGAGGCAGCAGUGGGGAAUAUUGGACAAUGGGGGCAACCCUGAUCCAGCGAUGCCGCGUGAGUGAAGAAGGCCUUCGGGUCGUAAAGCUCUUUAGGUUGGGAAGAAGGGUAUAGGAGGAAAUGCCUGUACUUUGACGGUACCGACAGAAUAAGCACCGGCAAACUCUGUGCCAGCAGCCGCAGUAA
This 501-nucleotide ribosomal RNA is filed under the name uncultured bacterium. RNAcentral's name for it is "partial 16S ribosomal RNA". It matches the Rfam family "Bacterial small subunit ribosomal RNA", at positions 29 to 523 of the family's 1533-position model. The record is from RNAcentral.